AUGGAGGUCGACAACACCGAGGAUGAGGAGGUCGACAAGGUCGCCCAGGCCAAGGCCGCCGCCAAGGCGCUCGGGACCAAGAGCAGCUCGGGCUCGGGCGCCGUCGGCGACGUUUCCGACGGGCUCAUGGAGCUCAACAUGGACACCUACAAUGACGAGGAGGAUGGGCUCGAGCUUUUCAGCACCAGGCUGGGGGACUUGUACUACAAAAGCAACAAAGAGGACCCAUAUAUCAUCACGAACGAUGACGAAGAUGAUGGCGAGGAACACGAUGAGGAGAUGAAGGACAUGACUAUCAAAUCUACUGAUAUAGUGAUUGUUUGCGCUCAUAACAAGGAUGAAUUCAAUUCUCUCCAGGUUAGCAGAGUGGAAGAAUUGGAGGAUGGGGAUCCUAAUAUGUUUGUGCACCAUGAGGUCCCUCUCUUAGAUUUUCUGCUCUGCACGGCUUGGAUGGAUUUUAACCGUCAGGAUUCGGGGUCUUCUACAAGGAUAAGACCAGGGCCUCCAAUGGAUUAG
RNAcentral lists this ribosomal RNA (516 nucleotides) under Triticum aestivum (bread wheat). Its description in RNAcentral is "partial small subunit ribosomal RNA". The record is from RNAcentral. Lineage: Eukaryota; Viridiplantae; Streptophyta; Magnoliopsida; Poales; Poaceae.